RNAcentral lists this ribosomal RNA (460 nucleotides) under uncultured bacterium. RNAcentral's name for it is "partial 16S ribosomal RNA". It matches the Rfam family "Bacterial small subunit ribosomal RNA", at positions 338 to 795 of the family's 1533-position model. The record is from RNAcentral.
CCUACGGGAGGCUGCAGUGAGGAAUAUUGGUCAAUGGACGAGAGUCUGAACCAGCCAAGUAGCGUGAAGGAUGACUGCCCUAUGGGUUGUAAACUUCUUUUAUAUGGGAAUAAAAUGUUCCACGUGUGGGAUUUUGUAUGUACCCUAUGAAUAAGGAUCGGCUAACUCCGUGCCAGCAGCCGCGGUAAUACGGAGGAUCCGAGCGCUAUCCGGAUUUAUUGGGUUUAAAGGGAGCGUAGGUGGAUUGUUAAGUCAGUUGUGAAAGUUUGCGGCUCAACCGUAAAAUUGCAGUUGAAACUGGCAGUCUUGAGUACAGUAGAGGUGGGCGGAAUUCGUGGUGUAGCGGUGAAAUGCUUAGAUAUCACGAAGAACUCCGAUUGCGAAGGCAGUUCACUGGACUGCAACUGACACUGAGGCUCGAAAGUGUGGGUAUCAAACAGGAUUAGAUACCCGUGUAGUC